This 292-nucleotide ribosomal RNA is filed under the name uncultured bacterium. RNAcentral's name for it is "partial 16S ribosomal RNA". The record is from RNAcentral. RNAcentral also lists the same sequence under 1 other name.
GGACUACCGGGGUUUCUAAUCCUGUUUGCUCCCCACGCUUUCGUGCAUGAGCGUCAGUCAUAGCCCAGGGGGCUGCCUUCGCCAUCGGUGUUCCUCCACAUCUCUACGCAUUUCACUGCUACACGUGGAAUUCCACCCCCCUCUGCCUGACUCCAGUCUUGCAGUCACAACCGCAGUUCCCAGGUUAAGCCCGGGGAUUUCACAGCUGUCUUACAAAACCGCCUGCGCACGCUUUACGCCCAGUAAUUCCGAUUAACGCUCGCACCCUACGUAUUACCGCGGCGGCUGGCAC